Molecule: small nuclear RNA, 105 nt
Organism: Balaenoptera musculus (blue whale)
Lineage: Eukaryota; Metazoa; Chordata; Mammalia; Artiodactyla; Balaenopteridae
Source: Ensembl
AUGCUCACUUUGGCAACAUAUCUACUAGAGUUGGAAUGAUGCAGAGAUUACCAUGGCCAUUGCAGAAGGAUGACAUGAAAAUUUCAAUACUUUUAUUAAAAACUU